Molecule: unclassified non-coding RNA, 513 nt
Filed under: Hevea brasiliensis (rubber tree)
Lineage: Eukaryota; Viridiplantae; Streptophyta; Magnoliopsida; Malpighiales; Euphorbiaceae
Source: RNAcentral
UUCUUGUUUCCUCUCUCCUCUCUCCUCUCUCCUACGAGGGUAACCCUCCAUACCCAUUAAAACUCCAUAUCUUGUCAAGGAAGGAUUUGAUCAUAGUGUCUCUUUAAUAGAUCACAAUGGAGCUUAAUGGAAUAAAAUUCUUAUUCACUGUUCUAUGCAUUUCAUAACUUUCCAUUAUAAUUUACCAAACAUGCUCUUAGUCUCAAUUUUUUUUCUAUAAAUAAAACAAUGUGGAGAUUGGAAGCAUAGAUUGCUUAUAAAUACCACAUAUAUGAGGACAAACAGGAAUAUAUUGAUUGAGAAUGAUGGGCAAGCUACAUUCAUAUACCUAUAAUUUCCACACGCGCUCACACAGACAAAAACUUCAAAAUUACAUUUGGAGAAUAUAACAUGCUUAUUAAAAGAUGGUCACUCGAAAGACAUUCUCCAAACGUUCCCUUUUAUUUCUAUUCUAACUAUCUGCAUCCGAAUCCACAAUUAAGCAUGCAACACCAGCCAUAAAAUUGAUUGGAA